GCCCGAGUGGUGAAAUGGUAGACACACAGGACUUAAAAUCCUGAGGACGGUUUCGUCCGUGCCGGUUCAAGUCCGGCCUCGGGCACCA
This 88-nucleotide transfer RNA is filed under the name Helicobacteraceae bacterium. Its description in RNAcentral is "tRNA-Leu". It matches the Rfam family "tRNA". From Rfam's summary of the family: Transfer RNA (tRNA) molecules are approximately 80 nucleotides in length. Their secondary structure includes four short double-helical elements and three loops (D, anti-codon, and T loops). Lineage: Bacteria; Pseudomonadati; Campylobacterota; Epsilonproteobacteria; Campylobacterales; Helicobacteraceae. The record is from RNAcentral.